Molecule: microRNA precursor, 57 nt
Organism: Astatotilapia calliptera (eastern happy)
Lineage: Eukaryota; Metazoa; Chordata; Actinopteri; Cichliformes; Cichlidae
Source: Ensembl
UGCUUUCUUUAGAAUUUAUCAUGUCAUAUAAAGUUGCUAAACUCUUCAGGGGGCUUU